Long non-coding RNA from Venturia canescens, 1477 nucleotides. RefSeq lists it as uncharacterized. The record is from RefSeq and is a predicted model, not a curated record. The transcript is spliced from 4 exons. NCBI's taxonomy places the organism in Eukaryota, Metazoa, Arthropoda, Insecta, Hymenoptera, Ichneumonidae.
GCAGUGAGUGUGCGCAGUGCAGUGCAAGAAAAAAAUUUCAUGCUGCAGAACGCAGAUAUCGGCAACGAAUAUUUCCAUCUAAAAUGGAUGAAAAUACAGACUACAGACCCGGGAAUAGUCGUUUUUCAUAAACUUUUCAAAUUCAAUUUCAAUAUUUUUACGCAGUUCCUGACUCGAUCUGACUAAGAAUGCAGCAAGUGCAUUUGCGUGUAAGACAUCUGCGUCCCAGCGUGCUCGCCGCAAUUUUAGCUCCCCACGCCAGGGAAGCCGAGUGGUACCGAAUUAAUCAUCAUGCCUUUCGUUGCGAAUAUUCUCCGAGCUACGCUGGCAAUUCAUGAGUUGCCUAAAGACUAUACAGGUCUUUUUUUAGGAUGUAGCAACACCGAUUGCCCUUCCAACAAAGCUCUCUUGAAUGAGUGUUGUGACAAUCCGUGCGUUGUGAAAAUUCAUGCAUUGGACAACUCGAAUUCUCGACUCGAUUUACAAUCAUGUGCUUCUGAUCCACCUGGAUACAUCGGUGAUAUCGAUUCUGGCUGUACACCAGGUGUGAGAAAAAGCUCGUUACUGCUGAGGUUUGCGGACAACACAUUCAACAGUAGUUACCUAACGAUGAUAGAUGUUGACAUCAAAAUAAGGACUAUAGAGGUUAAAGGAGACAGGGUGAAGCUGUAGGUAUGGGACACCACAGGACAGGAGGAACUCAGGACAAUAACGUCAAUGUAAUACAGGGGUACGCAUGGCGUAAUAUCAUUGGUUACGACGUUACCAGAGGUGACUCGUUUGCAGAUGUCAAACGAUGGCUACACAAGAUUGACCACAACUGCAAUACAGUCAAUAGGGUUCUCGUGGAUAACAAAAUCGAUGCUUCUAACCAAAAAGUUGUACUGACCGAGGAUACUGAACGUUUUGCCACUCUUUGAGAGAACUCUUUGAGAUCUCUGCUAAAGGCAACAUCAAUGUUCAAGAGGCGAUCCAGAGUAAUUCGACGACGACGUCACUAUAACAGCGGCAGAGUUAUCGGCGACUCCAACGGCAAUGAGAACCGCGAGUGGUUGGACCGGUGGCUCAACGAGAUUCAAUCCAGAGCAAAAUGCAAAAGCCGCGACGACGGGGAAAAACGGAGCUCGAGGACGAGGGAGUUAUAGAAACAGGAGUCGGAGCGAGAGAAAACAAUACACGGAGACGACCUGAACGACGAGCCAACGAAUCCCAUUGUCGAGCGGAAAGACAGAGAGGAAAAAAAAUGAUAAAAAUAUUUUUUUGUGUUUCAGGAUGCGAAGCACUAUGACACAUUACGAAAAAUGUAUUCACCUACGAGAAAGUCACCGAAAAUAAUACCGAUGGAUACUCCAGUUGAUGCGCAAGUGAUAGACGCGUCAGUGGGGGCAAUGGAAACUUGAGAUCGACAACUUUUUUCCUUUCGAUUCUAUGAAUAUGGAUUGAUCUGUAUUUUUCAAUAAACUUGUAAUUCAUCGUA